This 301-nucleotide ribosomal RNA is filed under the name uncultured bacterium. Its description in RNAcentral is "partial 16S ribosomal RNA". It matches the Rfam family "Bacterial small subunit ribosomal RNA", at positions 509 to 808 of the family's 1533-position model. The record is from RNAcentral.
CAGUCGCCACGGUAAUACGUAGGUCCCGAGCGUUGUCCGGAUUUAUUGGGCGUAAAGCGAGCGCAGGCGGUUAGAUAAGUCUGAAGUUAAAGGCUGUGGCUUAACCAUAGUAUGCUUUGGAAACUGUUUAACUUGAGUGCAGAAGGGGAGAGUGGAAUUCCAUGUGUAGCGGUGAAAUGCGUAGAUAUAUGGAGGAACACCGGUGGCGAAAGCGGCUCUCUGGUCUGUAACUGACGCUGAGGAGCGAAAGCGUGGGGAGCGAACAGGAUUAGAUACCCCAGUAGUCCCUGUCUCUUAUACA